RNAcentral lists this non-coding RNA (45 nucleotides) under Trichobilharzia regenti. The record is from RNAcentral. Lineage: Eukaryota; Metazoa; Platyhelminthes; Trematoda; Strigeidida; Schistosomatidae.
AUUCAGAUGGCGGGUCCCAAAUAGGACGAAAUGCACAUCCUGGAU